RNAcentral lists this ribosomal RNA (253 nucleotides) under uncultured bacterium. RNAcentral's name for it is "partial 16S ribosomal RNA". It matches the Rfam family "Bacterial small subunit ribosomal RNA", at positions 524 to 776 of the family's 1533-position model. The record is from RNAcentral.
GACAGAGGGUGCAAGCGUUGUUCGGAAUCAUUGGGCGUAAAGGGCGCGUAGGCGGUUUUGUAAGUCGGAUGUGAAAGCCCAGGGCUUAACCUUGGAAGUGCAUCCGAAACUGCAUGACUGGAGUCUCGGAGAGGGUGGUGGAAUUCCCAGUGUAGAGGUGAAAUUCGUAGAUAUUCGCAAGAACACCAGUGGCGAAGGCGGCUCACUGGCCCGGUACUGACGCUGAGGUGCGAAAGCGUGGGGAGCAAACAGG